RNAcentral lists this non-coding RNA (183 nucleotides) under Lachnospiraceae bacterium. RNAcentral's name for it is "6S RNA". It matches the Rfam family "6S / SsrS RNA". From Rfam's summary of the family: E. coli 6S RNA was the first non coding RNA to be sequenced, but its function was unknown until recently. It consists of 184 nucleotides that fold into an extended hairpin structure with a large single-stranded internal bulge. Lineage: Bacteria; Bacillati; Bacillota; Clostridia; Lachnospirales; Lachnospiraceae. The record is from RNAcentral.
CAUUACCUGGGGUGCUCGACAGUUCUGUUUAUUUUUGAACCUACAUCGACUUGAACGGGUUUCCUAUAUCUCUGUGAACAAUGUCAGGCCGUCCUCGAACGGAAGACAGCGGCGCAGUUGCGGUUACCCACCUAGCUUACAGCUAGGAGUCAAAAAGCGGAGCACCGGCACUCUGGGCUGUGU